This 290-nucleotide ribosomal RNA is filed under the name uncultured bacterium. RNAcentral describes it as "partial 16S ribosomal RNA". It matches the Rfam family "Bacterial small subunit ribosomal RNA", at positions 775 to 1067 of the family's 1533-position model. The record is from RNAcentral.
GGAUUAGAUACCCUGGUAGUCCACGCCGUAAACGAUGGAUACUAGGUGUUCGGCCAAUUGAGGCUGAGUGCCCAAGGGAAACCAAUAAGUAUCCCACCUGGGGAGUACGUCCGCAAGGAUGAAACUCAAAGGAAUUGACGGGGGCCCGCACAAGCGGUGGAGCAUGUGGUUUAAUUCGAUGAUACGCGAGGAACCUUACCUGGGCUAGAAUGCCUCUGACAGGCCAUGAAAGUGGUUUUUCCUUCGGGACAGAGUGCAAGGUGCUGCAUGGUUGUCGUCAGCUCGUGUCG